This is an unclassified non-coding RNA of Microcebus murinus (gray mouse lemur), 108 nucleotides long. It matches the Rfam family "Y RNA". Rfam says of the family: Y RNAs are components of the Ro ribonucleoprotein particle (Ro RNP), in association with Ro60 and La proteins. The Y RNAs and Ro60 and La proteins are well conserved, but the function of the Ro RNP is not known. In humans the RNA component can be one of four small RNAs -- hY1, hY3, hY4 and hY5. The record is from Ensembl. Lineage: Eukaryota; Metazoa; Chordata; Mammalia; Primates; Cheirogaleidae.
UUCUGGCCAGAGUACAGUGGUGUUUACAAUUGUUAAUAAUUGAUCACAACCAGUUACAGAUUUCUUUGUUUCUUCUGCACUCCUACUGCUUUACUUAACUAGAGUUAA